RNAcentral lists this transfer RNA (74 nucleotides) under Candidatus Minthenecus merdequi. RNAcentral describes it as "tRNA-Arg". It matches the Rfam family "tRNA". From Rfam's summary of the family: Transfer RNA (tRNA) molecules are approximately 80 nucleotides in length. Their secondary structure includes four short double-helical elements and three loops (D, anti-codon, and T loops). Further hydrogen bonds mediate the characteristic L-shaped molecular structure. tRNAs have two regions of fundamental functional importance: the anti-codon, which is responsible for specific mRNA codon recognition, and the 3' end, to which the tRNAs corresponding amino acid is attached (by aminoacyl-tRNA synthetases). tRNAs cope with the degeneracy of the genetic code in two manners: having more than one tRNA (with a specific anti-codon) for a particular amino acid; and 'wobble' base-pairing, i.e. permitting non-standard base-pairing at the 3rd anti-codon position. The record is from RNAcentral. Lineage: Bacteria; Pseudomonadati; Bacteroidota; Bacteroidia; Bacteroidales; Paludibacteraceae.
GGUUUCGUAGCUCAGCUGGAUAGAGCAACAGCCUUCUAAGCUGUGGGCCGCGGGUUCGAAUCCCGCCGAAAUCA